This 1650-nucleotide long non-coding RNA is filed under the name Homo sapiens (human). RNAcentral describes it as "HSALNT0397904". The record is from RNAcentral. Lineage: Eukaryota; Metazoa; Chordata; Mammalia; Primates; Hominidae.
AAAAAAAAAAAAAAAAAAAAAAAAACACAUGAUGAUCCUGGAAUGUUUUGAAGUGCCAGAGAAUAAGGAGGGGAUGAGUGGAAAGGAGACAGGAGCCCACUGAUGGCCAAAGCUGGCACAACUUAAACAUCCAGAUAAAUAACACUCAUGUUGGAUAAUAACCCGCAGAGUAAAAUAAAUUACCCAUGAGUUCACACGGACAUAAAUAAACAAUUAACCAACUGAACAAAUGUGGCAGAAGACACAAGUCAGCCUUGCAAGAGGAUCUCAAUUCGUAAAUCUUGGAAGAGUGAGGGCGACAGAAAAUCCCCAUUAGAAUGGCACUGUAAGGCCGGGCACAGUGGCUCUUGUCUGUAAUCCCAGCACUUUGGGAGGCCGAGGUGGGCUGAUCACCCGAGGUCCGGAGUUUGAGACCAGCCUCGCCAGCAUGGUGAAACCUCAUCUCUACUAAAAAUAUAAAACUUAACCGGGCAUGGGGGUGGGCACCUGUAAUCCCAGCUACUUGAGAGGCUGAGGCAAGACAAUUGCUUGAUCCCGGGAUGUGGAGGUUGCAGUGAGCCGAGAUCGUGCCACUGCACUCUAGCCUGGGCGACAGAGGAAGACUCUAUCUAAAAAAAAAAUAAAAAUAAAAAUAAAAAAGGCCAGGCGCAGUGGCUCACGCCUGUAAUCCCAACACUUUGAGAGGCGGAGGCAGGUGGAUCACCUGAGGUCAGGAGUUCGAGACCAGCCUGACCAACAUGGAGAAACCCCAUCUUUACUAAAAAUACAAAAUUAGCCGGGCGUGGUGGCACAUGCCUGUAAUCCCAGCUACUCAGGAGGCUGAGGCAGGAAAAUUGCUUGAACCCAGGAGGCAGAGGCUGCAGUGAGCCAAGAUUGCGCCACUGUACUGCAGCCUGGGCAACAAGAGUGAGACUCCAUCUCAAAAAAAAAAAAAAAAAAGGAAGCAAAAAAGACCACUGUUGAUUAAACCACAACAGAUCAUCUAUUUUAACACCCAUCCCAAUUCCGUGGAUCCAUGAAAUACCCCAUACUAGCUCAUUUGGUCCUCUCCACAACCCUAUGAGAUAGGUAGCAUUAUCAUCCCCAUUUUAUACAGGGGGAAACUGAGGUCAGAAAGACUGAGUGGCAUGCUCAAAGUCCCCCCAGUGAGCCAGAGGUGGAGCCAGGAUUUGAACUCGGGCAGUCUGGCAGCAGAGCCCUGACUCUUAUCUGCUCUCCACACUGCCUCUCUGCUUCCAGUCUGAUUUUGGAGAAGUAGACCCAGGAAUCACACAGACAGCUAGAAAUAUCCGCCUAUUGGCAUAUGAAAAGGGGCUCAACAUCGCUGAUCAUUAGAGAGAUGCAAAUCAAAACUACAGUGAGAUAUAUCAUCUCACCCCAAUUAAAGUGCCUUAUAUCCAAAAGACAGGCAAUAACAAAUGCUGGCAAUGAUGUGAAGAAAAGGGAACCCUCGUACAUUGUUGGUGGGAAUGUAAAUUAGUACAACCACCGUGGAGAACAGUUUGGAGGUUCCUCAAAAAACUAAAAAUUGAGGCUGGGCGCAGUGGCGCACACCUGUAAUCCCAACACUUUGGGAGGCCAAAGCAGGUGGAUCCCUUGAGGUCAGGAGUUCGAGACCAGCCUGGCCAACAUGGCGAAACCCUGUCUCUG